This is a non-coding RNA of Marasmius tenuissimus, 92 nucleotides long. The record is from the annotation of a GenBank genome assembly. NCBI's taxonomy places the organism in Eukaryota, Fungi, Basidiomycota, Agaricomycetes, Agaricales, Marasmiaceae.
CCGACCAUAGCUCAGUUGGAAGAGCACAAGACUGUAAUGGGUUGCCUCGGAUCGUGAUCUUGGGGUCGCCUGUUCGAACCAGGCUGGUCGGA